UUAGUAAUUCCAGGCUCAUAUGUCUUGCCCGUGUUAAAGAGACUAUACAGGAAUGAGUAAGACUACACUCCACAGUGAGCUAUAUAUCACUUAGUAUGGUUCAUUACUAUCUUGUGGCCUACAUU
RNAcentral lists this small nucleolar RNA (125 nucleotides) under Neotoma lepida (desert woodrat). RNAcentral's name for it is "Small nucleolar RNA SNORA4". It matches the Rfam family "Small nucleolar RNA SNORA4". From Rfam's summary of the family: ACA4 is a member of the H/ACA class of snoRNA that guide the sites of modification of uridines to pseudouridines. Lineage: Eukaryota; Metazoa; Chordata; Mammalia; Rodentia; Cricetidae. The record is from Rfam by way of RNAcentral.